AGAGUUUGAUCAUGGCUCAGAUUGAACGCUGGCGGAAUGCUUUACACAUGCAAGUCGAACGGUAGAGGGGGCAACCCCUCGAGAGUGGCGAACGGGUGAGUAAUAUAUCGGAACGUGCCCAGUCGUGGGGGAUAACGUAGCGAAAGUUACGCUAAUACCGCAUACGAUCUACGGAUGAAAGCGGGGGAUCGCAAGACCUCGCGCGAUUGGAGCGGCCGAUAUCAGAUUAGGUAGUUGGUGGGGUAAAGGCUCACCAAGCCAACGAUCUGUAGCUGGUCUGAGAGGACGACCAGCCACACUGGAACUGAGACACGGUCCAGACUCCUACGGGAGGCAGCAGUGGGGAAUUUUGGACAAUGGACGCAAGUCUGAUCCAGCCAUUCCGCGUGCAGGAUGAAGGCCCUCGGGUUGUAAACUGCUUUUGUACGGAACGAAAAGGUUUCCAUUAAUACUGGGAGCUCAUGACGGUACCGUAAGAAUAAGCACCGGCUAACUACGUGCCAGCAGCCGCGGUAAUACGUAGGGUGCAAGCGUUAAUCGGAAUUACUGGGCGUAAAGCGUGCGCAGGCGGUUAUGUAAGACAGAGGUGAAAUCCCCGGGCUCAACCUGGGAACUGCCUUUGUGACUGCAUAGCUAGAGUACGGUAGAGGGGGAUGGAAUUCCGCGUGUAGCAGUGAAAUGCGUAGAUAUGCGGAGGAACACCGAUGGCGAAGGCAAUCCCCUGGACCUGUACUGACGCUCAUGCACGAAAGCGUGGGGAGCAAACAGGAUUAGAUACCCUGGUAGUCCACGCCCUAAACGAUGUCAACUGGUUGUUGGGUCUUCACUGACUCAGUAACGAAGCUAACGCGUGAAGUUGACCGCCUGGGG
Molecule: ribosomal RNA, 870 nt
Filed under: uncultured Limnohabitans sp.
Lineage: Bacteria; Pseudomonadati; Pseudomonadota; Betaproteobacteria; Burkholderiales; Comamonadaceae
Description: bacterial SSU rRNA
Rfam family: Bacterial small subunit ribosomal RNA
Source: RNAcentral